This 869-nucleotide ribosomal RNA is filed under the name Peribacillus sp. RNAcentral describes it as "bacterial SSU rRNA". It matches the Rfam family "Bacterial small subunit ribosomal RNA", at positions 93 to 947 of the family's 1533-position model. The record is from RNAcentral. Lineage: Bacteria; Bacillati; Bacillota; Bacilli; Caryophanales; Bacillaceae.
UAGCGGCGGACGGGUGAGUAACACGUGGGCAACCUGCCUAUAAGACUGGGAUAACUUCGGGAAACCGGAGCUAAUACCGGAUACGUUCUUUUCUCGCAUGAGAGAAGAUGGAAAGACGGUUUCGGCUGUCACUUAUAGAUGGGCCCGCGGCGCAUUAGCUAGUUGGUGAGGUAAUGGCUCACCAAGGCGACGAUGCGUAGCCGACCUGAGAGGGUGAUCGGCCACACUGGGACUGAGACACGGCCAAGACUCCUACGGGAGGCAGCAGUAGGGAAUCUUCCGCAAUGGACGAAAGUCUGACGGAGCAACGCCGCGUGAACGAAGAAGGCCUUCGGGUCGUAAAGUUCUGUUGUUAGGGAAGAACAAGUACCAGAGUAACUGCUGGUACCUUGACGGUACCUAACCAGAAAGCCACGGCUAACUACGUGCCAGCAGCCGCGGUAAUACGUAGGUGGCAAGCGUUGUCCGGAAUUAUUGGGCGUAAAGCGCGCGCAGGUGGUUCCUUAAUUCUGAUGUGAAAGCCCACGGCUCAACCGUGGAGGGUCAUUGGAAACUGGGGAACUUGAGUGCAGAAGAGGAAAGUGGAAUUCCAAGUGUAGCGGUGAAAUGCGUAGAGAUUUGGAGGAACACCAGUGGCGAAGGCGACUUUCUGGUCUGUAACUGACACUGAGGCGCGAAAGCGUGGGGAGCAAACAGGAUUAGAUACCCUGGUAGUCCACGCCGUAAACGAUGAGUGCUAAGUGUUAGAGGGUUUCCGCCCUUUAGUGCUGCAGCUAACGCAUUAAGCACUCCGCCUGGGGAGUACGGCCGCAAGGCUGAAACUCAAAGGAAUUGACGGGGGCCCGCACAAGCGGUGGAGCAUGUGGUUU